This 116-nucleotide small nucleolar RNA is filed under the name Jaculus jaculus (lesser Egyptian jerboa). RNAcentral describes it as "Small nucleolar RNA SNORA33 (ENSJJAG00000007651.1)". Lineage: Eukaryota; Metazoa; Chordata; Mammalia; Rodentia; Dipodidae. The record is from RNAcentral.
GAUCCACCACUGAAUGUGUUUCCACAGAAAUUUAGAAACAGCUGGAAAUAAUGAUGAUAUUUUAUGGGCCUUAAGGACAACUGAGGUUAAUACUGUUCCUCAAAAUGGCUACAAUA